This 261-nucleotide ribosomal RNA is filed under the name uncultured archaeon. RNAcentral's name for it is "partial 16S ribosomal RNA". It matches the Rfam family "Archaeal small subunit ribosomal RNA", at positions 748 to 1008 of the family's 1478-position model. The record is from RNAcentral.
AGGGUGUAAACGCUGCAGACUUGGUGUUGGGAACCCUUCGGGGGUGCUCAGUGCCGGAGAGAAGUUGUUAAGUCUGCUACUUGGGGGGUACGUCCGCAAGGAUGAAACUUAAAGGAAUUGGCGGGGGAGCACCGCAACGGGAGGAGCGUGCGGUUUAAUUGGAUUCAACACCGUAAAACUCACCAGGGAAGACUGUUACAUGAAGGCCGAGAUGAAGACUCUGCUAGAUUUUCAGAGAGGAGGUGCAUGGCGUCAGUGACU